RNAcentral lists this ribosomal RNA (253 nucleotides) under uncultured bacterium. Its description in RNAcentral is "partial 16S ribosomal RNA". It matches the Rfam family "Bacterial small subunit ribosomal RNA", at positions 524 to 776 of the family's 1533-position model. The record is from RNAcentral.
GACGAGGGGUCCUAGCGUUGUUCGGAAUCACUGGGCGUAAAGCGUAUGUAGGCGGGCUUCUAAGUCAGGUGUGAAAUCCCAUGGCUCAACCAUGGAAUUGCAUUUGAAACUGGAAGUCUUGAAUGUGGGAGAGAUUGGUAGAAUACCUGGUGUAGUGGUGAAAUACGUAGAUAUCAGGUGGAAUACCGGUGGCGAAGGCGGCCAAUUGGCCCAACAUUGACGCUGGGAUACGAAAGCGUGGGGAUCAAACAGG